AUUCCAGCUCCAAUAGCGUAUAUUAAAGUUGUUGCAGUUAAAAAGCUCGUAGUUGAACUUCUGAUAGUUGAUUUGGCUGGCUUCGGUCGCCUUGUUGGCUGUCAUCCGCUUGGGAAUUUCGUUCGGUCUUCAUUGAUUGGCGGGGGGAUCAAGCAUUUUACUUUGAAAAAAUUAGAGUGUUCAAGGCAGGCUAUCGCCAUGAAUACACAAGCAUGGAAUAAUGGAAUAGGACUCUCAGUCAUUUUAUUGGUUAUUGACUGAAAGUAAUGAUUAGUAGGGACAGUUGGGGGCAUUCGUAUUUAAUUGUCAGAGGUGAAAUUCUUGGAUUCGCUCAAGACUAACUUAUGCGAAAGCAUUCACCAAGGAUGUCUUCAUCA
The sequence is a ribosomal RNA, 377 nucleotides long. It matches the Rfam family "Eukaryotic small subunit ribosomal RNA", at positions 582 to 975 of the family's 1831-position model.